Long non-coding RNA from Neofelis nebulosa (Clouded leopard), 941 nucleotides. RefSeq lists it as uncharacterized. Lineage: Eukaryota; Metazoa; Chordata; Mammalia; Carnivora; Felidae. The record is from RefSeq and is a predicted model, not a curated record. The transcript has 3 exons.
AGAGUGCUGGUGGGGGGUGGGGGGAGGUACCCCCAGAGAGCAGGGGUUCUGGAGUCAGCAACGGCUGGGUUCAAAUCCUCGGUGCACCACUCACUGGCCAUAUGACUCUCUGGACUCAGUUUCCACAUAGGUAAAAGUGAGGUAGAAACUGCCAUCUUGCAGGGUGUUCGACAGGACGGGCAGCAAGACAUAAAUUCAAUAUAAAUUCCCAGGCAUACAGUAGUUACAAAUUGUUGCUGAGCAAACAGUGGUUUGCUGUUAUUACUAGUUUUACCGAUGCCAGCCAGAAAAUCUUUCGUUUUCAAAGUUUUAUAUCUUUAAAGUGAAUUAAUCUCUAACUACUUUGGCUCUGUAAGUUUCCAAUUUGUUUCCUUAAAGCAGAGAGUACCUACAUUGAAUGAAUGCAUCUCCCCUAGAGUUUGCCUCUGAACGGUUACAUGGAUAUGUGACGGAGGUUAUAAUAAGCUCCUGGAGAACGAAUGUCAUUCCAAAUACCCUUCUGUAGAUUCAAAAACACCUUGCACCAUACUGAGCCUGAUAAAUACUUGCUGAAAUCAUGAAUGAAAAAUCUGCCACUUGUAUCAUGUAGAGAAAUGGGUCACUAACCUAUCCUCCUAUUAACCACAACCUAAACUUCAACUCAACUUAUUCCUACUCAAAACACUACCUUCUGGGACACCUGGCUGGCUCAGUCAGUGCAUCAUGCAACUCCUGAUCUCAAGAGUUGUGAGAUUGAGCCCCAGGCCAGGCAUAGAUAUUACUUUCAAAAUAAAACCCUUAAAAACAAACAAACAAACGAAAACGAAAAAACAAACUACCUUCCUUUCUCUCCACAUGCCUCAUGAGAAUUAUCUCCAGACUCCACUGAGUCCUAAAUCACCUCCCUUCUUUGGAUGUCUGAAGCAUUUAUUGAUUAUAUUACCAUGUGGGCACUUAAUACA